AUUGUACUCCCUCCUUCUGGAAAUACUUGUCAGAGAAAUGGAUGUAUCUAGACAAAUUUUAGUUUUAAAUACAUCCAUUUUAUCCAUUUCUCUGACAAGUAUUUCCGGACGGAGGGAGUAGUAA
Non-coding RNA from Triticum urartu, 124 nucleotides. Lineage: Eukaryota; Viridiplantae; Streptophyta; Magnoliopsida; Poales; Poaceae. The record is from Rfam.